Molecule: ribosomal RNA, 552 nt
Filed under: uncultured bacterium
Lineage: Bacteria
Description: bacterial SSU rRNA
Rfam family: Archaeal small subunit ribosomal RNA
Source: RNAcentral
AAUAGAUACCCCGGUAGUCCCAGCCGUAAACGAUGCUCGCUAGGUGUCAGGCAUGGCGCGACCGUGUUUGGUGCCGCAGGGAAGCCGUGAAGCGAGCCACCUGGGAAGUACGGCCGCAAGGCUGAAAACUUAAAGGAAUUGGCGGGGGAGCACAACAACGGGUGGAGCCUGCGGUUUAAUUGGACUCAACGCCGGACAACUCACCGGGGGACGACAGCAAUAUGUAGGUCAGGCUGAAGACCUUACCUGAAUCGCUGAGAGGAGGUGCAUGGCCGUCGCCAGUUCGUACUGUGAAGCAUCCUGUUAAGUCAGGCAACGAGCGAGACCCGUGCCCACUGUUACCAGCAUAUCCUCCGGGAUGAUGGGUACUCUGUGGGGACCGCCGGUGUUAAAUCGGAGGAAGGUGCGGGGCCACGGUAGGUCAGUAUGCCCCGAAUUUCCCGGGCUACACGCGGGCUACAAUGAAUGGGACAAUGGGUCCCUCCCUGAAAAGGGCUGGUAAUCUCACAAACCCAUCCUUAGUUCGGAUCGAGGGCUGUAACUCGCCCUCGU